GGGGAAUAUUGGACAAUGGGGGAAACCCUGAUCCAGCAAUGCCGCGUGAGUGAAGAAGGCCUUAGGGUUGUAAAGCUCUUUUACCCGUGAAGAUAAUGACGGUAGCGGGGGAAUAAGCCCUGGCUAACUCUGUGCCAGCAGCCGCGGUAAUACAGAGAGGGCAAGCGUUGUCCGGAAUGACUGGGCGUAAAGAGCGCGUAGGCGGUGUUUUAAGUUGGAUGUGAAAUCCCUGGGCUUAACCUAGGAACUGCAUUUGAUACUGGAACGCUAGAGGAUGAGAGAGGAAAGUGGAAUGACGAGUGUAGAGGUGAAAUUCGUAGAUAUUCGUCGGAACACCAGAGGCGAAGGCGGCUUUCUGGCUCAUACCUGACGCUGAGGCGCGAAAGCGUGGGGAGCAAAC
Molecule: ribosomal RNA, 400 nt
Filed under: uncultured bacterium
Lineage: Bacteria
Description: bacterial SSU rRNA
Rfam family: Bacterial small subunit ribosomal RNA
Source: RNAcentral